AUGCAUUUGGAGAUUAUUG
Molecule: small nuclear RNA, 19 nt
Filed under: Arabidopsis thaliana (thale cress)
Lineage: Eukaryota; Viridiplantae; Streptophyta; Magnoliopsida; Brassicales; Brassicaceae
Description: snRNA_11640
Source: RNAcentral